Molecule: long non-coding RNA, 1116 nt
Organism: Neofelis nebulosa (Clouded leopard)
Lineage: Eukaryota; Metazoa; Chordata; Mammalia; Carnivora; Felidae
Exons: 2
Source: RefSeq, a predicted model, not a curated record
CAACCAUUUCUGAAGAUUCUUCAUUGACAUGACCCCUUCAUACUAAGAGGGCUGAUGCUUUUGUAGCCACUAGCAACUCAUCCUAAAACAGAAUUGGCAAAAUAAAUUCCAAGAGUAUUGUAAGAAAGGAUUGGUUUCUUUUGGCUUUACUUUUGAAAGGAAUUAAUUACCACUGUAAAGAUUAUCUUCAUGUUUAUUACUACACUCACUUCAGCAUUUACAUUUAAUAGUUACUGAUCCUUUCCAGAGUACCUACACAUUGAAACACUGAAUGCCCUUCACUGACCUUGUAGGCACUGUCCUCUUCAGUGCUUGCAUGAGUAGGCUGCUGAAGGAAGCGUUGAUGCUCAGGUCUCCCUGCUUCUUGUUCCUGCCAUGCUGCUGGAGGGCAGUUGGAAGUCCCUAGAGACACGGCUGCACCUUUCAGUUGCCUCAGUGUCCUUCCUGGUUUCUUUCCUAGCCUUGAAUUUGAGUGUGGGUGUAUCUGUGUACAUGAGAGAGAAUGAAUGCCGGUGUGUGAGCAGGUGCAUGUGGGAGCUGGUGUGGGGUGUGCGUGCAUACUUCUGGGUCUGUGUGUUGGAUGAAUUACUAAAAGGCAGAUGAGGUCCCUUUCUGUGCUUGGAUCACAGGCAAUUUUGCUAGUGUUUUAAAAGCAUCUUUUUCAUAUUAUAAAAGUAACACAUGCUUAUUAAAAAUUGUGAAAACAAAGAGUAAUGUAAAAUAUAAAACAAAAAAAAAAGUGACCAAUAAUCCUAUUUUCCUGAGAAAAAAUAUCACUAACAUUUUAGUGUAUCUCCCUACAGACUUUUUUGUACACACAAGCACACACAUACACAGAGCUUUGUACACAAUUGAGAUCACAGCGCCCCAAAGCUAAAUUAUUUUUAUAGAUGUUCAUUGUUUAAAAACAUGAGACUAAGUCAUAUCAGUAAGCAAAAUAAGAAAAAUAAAAACCACCUAUAAUUUCACCACCCAGAGUAACUACUUAAAAUUUUUAAAUGUAAAUUAAAAUAUAUGUAAUGAAUGCUUCAUUGUACAAAAACGGUGUAAUUCCCAUGUCUGUUGUUCUGAACCCACUUUUUGACCUGUUUUUGAAAUUAAAGAUCUCUGAUACCA